CAUGCAGACCGGGUGACCGCCGUUCUUCCCCUGUGGAAGGAGGGAGGAAAGUCCGGGCUCCUCUGGGCAGGGUGCUGGGUAACUCCCAGGUCCCGAUCUAAAUCGGGAACGGAAAGUGGCACAGAAACAUACCGUCCUUCCAGCAAUGGAAGGGUAAGGGUGAAAUCGGACGGUAAGAGCGUCCGGCCGUUUGCGGUGACGCAACGGCGGCUAAACCCCACCUGGAGCAAGGCCAAAUAGGGGGACUUACGCGCCCGGCCAGUCCCCGGGUUGGCUGCUUGACUGCGGCGGUAACGUCGCUCCGCCAAUGGCGGACUUCCGCUGGCUUCACGGCUGGCGGUUGGGCUAGAUAGAUGGUCACCGUCCUUCCCUUGCGGGGAGGAUACAGAACCCGGCUUACAGGUCUGCAGAACCC
This 415-nucleotide RNase P RNA is filed under the name Dehalococcoidia bacterium. RNAcentral describes it as "RNase P RNA component class A". It matches the Rfam family "Bacterial RNase P class A". From Rfam's summary of the family: Ribonuclease P (RNase P) is a ubiquitous endoribonuclease, found in archaea, bacteria and eukarya as well as chloroplasts and mitochondria. Its best characterised activity is the generation of mature 5'-ends of tRNAs by cleaving the 5'-leader elements of precursor-tRNAs. Lineage: Bacteria; Bacillati; Chloroflexota; Dehalococcoidia. The record is from RNAcentral.